GGGGAUUUAGCUCAGUGGUAGAGCACUUGCCUAGCAAGUAUAAGGCCCUGGGUUCGGUCCCCAGCUCUG
RNAcentral lists this transfer RNA (69 nucleotides) under Rattus norvegicus (Norway rat). It matches the Rfam family "tRNA". Rfam says of the family: Transfer RNA (tRNA) molecules are approximately 80 nucleotides in length. Their secondary structure includes four short double-helical elements and three loops (D, anti-codon, and T loops). Further hydrogen bonds mediate the characteristic L-shaped molecular structure. tRNAs have two regions of fundamental functional importance: the anti-codon, which is responsible for specific mRNA codon recognition, and the 3' end, to which the tRNAs corresponding amino acid is attached (by aminoacyl-tRNA synthetases). tRNAs cope with the degeneracy of the genetic code in two manners: having more than one tRNA (with a specific anti-codon) for a particular amino acid; and 'wobble' base-pairing, i.e. permitting non-standard base-pairing at the 3rd anti-codon position. The record is from Rfam by way of RNAcentral. Lineage: Eukaryota; Metazoa; Chordata; Mammalia; Rodentia; Muridae.